Molecule: ribosomal RNA, 505 nt
Filed under: uncultured bacterium
Lineage: Bacteria
Description: partial 16S ribosomal RNA
Rfam family: Bacterial small subunit ribosomal RNA
Source: RNAcentral
GACGAACGCUGGCGGCGUGCCUAAUACAUGCAAGUAGAACGCACAGUUUAUACCGUAGCUUGCUACACCAUAGACUGUGAGUUGCGAACGGGUGAGUAACGCGUAGGUAACCUGCCUGGUAGCGGGGGAUAACUAUUGGAAACGAUAGCUAAUACCGCAUAAUAUUAAUUAUUGCAUGAUAAUUAAUUGAAAGGUGCAAUUGCACCACUACCAGAUGGACCUGCGUUGUAUUAGCUAGUAGGUGAGGUAACGGCUCACCUAGGCGACGAUACAUAGCCGACCUGAGAGGGAGAUCGGCCACACGGGGACGGAGACACGGCCCAGACUACAACGGGAGGCAGCAGAAGGGAAUCUUCGGCAAGGGACGAAAGUCUGACCGAGCAACGCCGCGUGAGUGAAGAAGGUUUUCGGAUCGUAAAGCUAUGUUGUAAGAGAAGAACGGGUGUGAGAGUGGAAAGUUCACACUGUGACGGUAACUAACCAGAAAGGGACGGCUAACUACGUG